UACGAAGGGGGCGAGCGUUGUUCGGAAUUACUGGGCGUAAAGGGCGCGCAGGCGGCCUUAGAAGUCAGAUGUGAGAGCCCCGGGCUCAACCUGGGAAUGGCAUUUGAUACUCUGAGGCUGGAGUACGGGAGAGGAGAGUGGAAUUCCCAGUGUAGAGGUGAAAUUCGUAGAUAUUGGGAAGAACACCGGUGGCGAAGGCGGCUCUCUGGACCGUAACUGACGCUGAGGCGCGAAAGCGUGGGGAGCAAACAGG
This 253-nucleotide ribosomal RNA is filed under the name uncultured bacterium. RNAcentral's name for it is "partial 16S ribosomal RNA". It matches the Rfam family "Bacterial small subunit ribosomal RNA", at positions 524 to 776 of the family's 1533-position model. The record is from RNAcentral.